Molecule: ribosomal RNA, 700 nt
Filed under: uncultured bacterium
Lineage: Bacteria
Description: bacterial SSU rRNA
Rfam family: Bacterial small subunit ribosomal RNA
Source: RNAcentral
GUCGAGCGAGAACCGUAGCAAUACGGGGACAGCGGCGAAAGGGACAGUAAUGUGUAGAUUAUCUACCCUCAGGUCCGGGAUAGCUGCGGGAAACUGCAGGUAAUACCGGAUAACAUCUCCGGAUCAAAGGUGUAAUUCCGCCUGAGGAUGAGUCUGCAUCCUAUUAGCUAGUUGGUGAGGUAAUGGCUCACCAAGGCUGUGAUGGGUAGCAGGUGUGAGAGCACGACCUGCGUCAUUGGGACUGAGACACUGCCCAGACACCUACGGGUGGCUGCAGUCGAGAAUCUUCGGCAAUGGGCGCAAGCCUGACCGAGCGACGCCGCGUGUGGGAUGAAGGCCUUCGGGUUGUAAACCACUGUCAGAGGGGAUGAAAUGCAGGUGGGUUCUCCCAUCUGUUUGACAUAGCCUCAGAGGAAGGACGGGCUAAGUUCGUGCCAGCAGCCGCGGUAAGACGAACCGUCCAAACGUUAUUCGGAAUCACUGGGCUUAAAGGGUGCGUAGGCGGCGCGGAAAGUUGGGUGUGAAAUCCCUCGGCUCAACCGAGGAACUGCGCCCAAAACUGCCGUGCUCGAGGGAGAUAGAGGUGAGCGGAACUUAGGGUGGAGCGGUGAAAUGCGUUGAUAUCCUAAGGAACACCGGUGGCGAAAGCGGCUCACUGGAUCUCUUCUGACGCUGAUGCACGAAAGCUAGGGUAGCGAAC